Molecule: long non-coding RNA, 1240 nt
Organism: Gasterosteus aculeatus aculeatus (three-spined stickleback)
Lineage: Eukaryota; Metazoa; Chordata; Actinopteri; Perciformes; Gasterosteidae
Source: Ensembl
CUGAGUGAAACAUCUCCAAAAAGAGCAGGAAUUACUAAAAAUGAUUUUAAUGCAGCAACGAUGUUUGUUGAACCGCCUGCGUCACACACCGCAAACAUGAACGAAAGGUGACAACCAUCUUAAAGAUUGGAUUUAUUAUUGAAAUAUUGCUCUAUACCAGCAGUGUCUCUCACGAAUGAACGACGUGGUGUGAGUGCCGACGGGUUUUGGCCUCAGGAGUGAUGCGUCCUAUGACUCAUCAGGCCUAUCGAAAGGCCUCGAAGGGGGGCGGGGACUCACGGCAGCACGCGAUGCUCGUUGAGCGCGUCACUAUACUAACCACUAACCACUGACAAUAAAAGCGCGACGACACGUAACAACAUCGUUGUGACAGAACGUUCUAACUAUUUAUAUUCAUCUAUAAUUAAAAAAAAAAAUCCUCAUUAAUACAAACGUAUCACAUACAGGUGAAUGCACAGAUUAAAUACACACAGCAUGCAAGGUACACACACUUCUCAGCAUUCUGUCAACAGUGAACACUCUUUUAUUUCAUAAUGUGAUCACUGAAGUUCAUUAAUUAAUUAAUUAUUAUGAAAAUCUUAACGUUAAUAUCGUCUAUCUUUCAACCUUACGUUACAACAUGACACAUUGAUCAACAAAUUGACGUUUUCUGGCACGUUGAUGUUUCAUCCCAUUUUUAGCCGGUUGAAAAGACUUUUAAAUGAGGUCUUAGACGUUCAGACCUCAUUUCAACCCGAUUUCAACCAUAUUUCAACGUUGAAAUUACGUCUUGUGCUCACUGGGAAGUGUUAUUUGCCUGACAUGAUUAACAUUCUCUUUCCUUACAUCUUGUUGUCUUCCUCAUCUUUGUAAUUUUAAUAUUUUACCAAUGAAAGUGUUUCUAAAUGUUUUAUUUUGGUUUGUUUUACGGAGGCUCUGGAUUAAGGACGCCAGCCGUUUGCUGCGGUCAAUUGAAAGUGUUCCAUAGCGUAUUGUUGCAGUUAGUUUACCUUGUUCCUAAUAAUUUAAUGAUUGAUUUUUUUAUUAUUGUAUGGGACAUAUUUUAUGUUUUGAUCUUGGUUACAAAUGCCAAAUAUUUUUGUCUUAAAGGCAUCUAAUAAACUCCAACCACUAUGACCGAGCUGAGUUUGGUGGUCUUUCUUUAAUUUGUGGGGAAUUGAAUGCAAAAGUAUACGGUUAUAAGUAAACGGUAACAUUGUAGCGGCUCCCAGACUGUGGAACGCUUUGUCGUUUUCUGUGC